CCAAUAGCGUAUAUUAAAGUUGUUGCAGUUAAAAAGCUCGUAGUUGAAUUUCGGGAUCAAUAUAUCGGUCGUGCCAUUGGUACGUACUGGUAUCAUUGGUUUCUCCUUUCUGACGAACCAUGAUGUCAUUAAUUUGGUGUUAUGGGAAGUUAGGACUGUUACUUUGAAAAAAUUAGAGUGUUUAAAGCAGGCUUUAGCUUGAAUACAUUAGCAUGGAAUAAUGAAAUAGGUCGUUCGAACCUAUUUUGUUGGUUUCUAGGAUCAACGUAAUGAUUAAUAGGGAUAGUUGGGGGCAUUAGUAUUCAAUUGUCAGAGGUGAAAUUCUUGGAUUUAUUGAAGACUAACUACUGCGAAAGCAUUUGCCAAGGAUGUUUUCAUUAAUCAAGAACGAAAGUUAGGGGAUCGAAGACGAUCAGAUACCGUCGUAGUCUUAACCAUAAACUAUGCCGACGAGGGAUCGGAUGAUGUUAAAUUUUUUAAUGACUCAUUCGGCGCCUUACG
Molecule: ribosomal RNA, 501 nt
Filed under: uncultured Glomeromycotina
Lineage: Eukaryota; Fungi; Glomeromycota
Description: partial small subunit ribosomal RNA
Rfam family: Eukaryotic small subunit ribosomal RNA
Source: RNAcentral